Molecule: ribosomal RNA, 156 nt
Filed under: Triticum aestivum (bread wheat)
Lineage: Eukaryota; Viridiplantae; Streptophyta; Magnoliopsida; Poales; Poaceae
Also listed under: 1 other name
Description: rRNA 5_8S_rRNA
Rfam family: 5.8S ribosomal RNA
About the family: 5.8S ribosomal RNA (5.8S rRNA) is a component of the large subunit of the eukaryotic ribosome. It is transcribed by RNA polymerase I as part of the 45S precursor that also contains 18S and 28S rRNA. Functionally, it is thought that 5.8S rRNA may be involved in ribosome translocation.
Source: Rfam by way of RNAcentral
GACUCUCGGCAACGGAUAUCUCGGCUCUCGCAUCGAUGAAGAACGUAGCGAAAUGCGAUACCUGGUGUGAAUUGCAGAAUCCCCCGAACCAUCGAGUCUUUGAACACAAGUUGCGCCCGAGGCCACUCGGCCGAGGGCAUAAUUGUAACGGCGGGG